This 292-nucleotide ribosomal RNA is filed under the name uncultured bacterium. RNAcentral's name for it is "16S ribosomal RNA". It matches the Rfam family "Bacterial small subunit ribosomal RNA", at positions 1244 to 1533 of the family's 1533-position model. The record is from RNAcentral.
GGGUUGCCAACCCGCGAGGGGGAGCUAAUCCCAUAAAGCCAGUCGUAGUCCGGAUCGCAGUCUGCAACUCGACUGCGUGAAGUCGGAAUCGCUAGUAAUCGUGGAUCAGCAUGUCACGGUGAAUACGUUCCCGGGUCUUGUACACACCGCCCGUCACACCAUGGGAGCGGGUCUCGCCAGAAGUAGGUAGCCUAACCGUAAGGAGGGCGCUUACCACGGCGGGGUUCGUGACUGGGGUGAAGUCGUAACAAGGUAGCCGUAUCGGAGGGUGCGGCUGGAUCACCUCCUUUCU